This 95-nucleotide non-coding RNA is filed under the name Saccharicrinis fermentans. RNAcentral describes it as "TPP sequence". It matches the Rfam family "TPP riboswitch aptamer (THI element)". Rfam says of the family: Vitamin B(1) in its active form thiamin pyrophosphate (TPP) is an essential coenzyme that is synthesised by coupling of pyrimidine and thiazole moieties in bacteria. Lineage: Bacteria; Pseudomonadati; Bacteroidota; Bacteroidia; Marinilabiliales; Marinilabiliaceae. The record is from RNAcentral. RNAcentral also lists the same sequence under 1 other name.
AAUAACUAUUAGGGGUGCCUUUUAUCAUAGGCUGAGAUAAUACCCUUGAACCUGAAAUGUAUAAUGACAUCGUAGGGAAAUGGUUUUGAUAUUUA